RNAcentral lists this ribosomal RNA (355 nucleotides) under uncultured bacterium. RNAcentral describes it as "bacterial SSU rRNA". It matches the Rfam family "Bacterial small subunit ribosomal RNA", at positions 28 to 383 of the family's 1533-position model. The record is from RNAcentral.
GACGAACGCUGGCGGCGUGCUUAACACAUGCAAGUCGAGCGGUAAGGCCCUUUCGGGGGUACACGAGCGGCGAACGGGUGAGUAACACGUGGGUGACCUGCCCUCAGCUCUGGGAUAAGCCUGGGAAACCGGGUCUAAUACCGGAUAUGACUCCAUGACGCAUGUUGUGGGGUGGAAAGCCUUGUGCGGCUGAGGAUGGGCCCGCGGCCUAUCAGCUUGUUGGUGGGGUGAUGGCCUACCAAGGCGACGACGGGUAGCCGGCCUGAGAGGGCGACCGGCCACACUGGGACUCGAGACACGGCCCAGACUCCUACGGGAGGCAGCAGUGGGGAAUCUUGCGCAAUGGGCGAAAGCC